GAUGAAGAACGUAGCGAAACGCGAUACUUGGUGUGAAUUGCAGAAUCCCGUGAACCAUCGAGUCUUUGAACGCAAGUUGCGCCUCAAGCCAUUAGGUUGAGGGCACGUCUGCCUGGGCGUCACAUAUCGUUGCCUGAUGCCAGUUUCCUCGUGAUGGGUGACUGUGCAGGGCGAAUGAUGGCUUCCCGUGAGCAUUGUUGCCUCAUGGUUGGUUGAAAAUUGAGUCCUUGGUAGGGAGCGCCGUGAUAGAUGGUGGUUGAGUGACGAACGAGACCCAAUCAUGUGAGACCCCUACCGAAUUUGGCCUUCAUGACCCACAUGCGUCUUUGGAACGCUCAUGACGAGACCUCAGGUCAGGCGGGGCUACCCGCUGAGUUUAAGCAUAUCAAUAAGCGGAGA
RNAcentral lists this unclassified non-coding RNA (399 nucleotides) under soil metagenome. RNAcentral describes it as "partial contains 5.8S ribosomal RNA, internal transcribed spacer 2, and large subunit ribosomal RNA". The stretch from base 1 to 122 matches the Rfam family "5.8S ribosomal RNA", at positions 35 to 154 of the family's 154-position model. The record is from RNAcentral.